CAGCAGCCGCCGCGGUAAUACGUAGGGUGCAAGCGUUAAUCGGAAUUACUGGGCGUAAAGCGUGCGCAGGCGGUUAUAUAAGACAGAUGUGAAAUCCCCGGGCUCAACCUGGGAACUGCAUUUGUGACUGUAUAGCUAGAGUACGGCAGAGGGGGAUGGAAUUCCGCGUGUAGCAGUGAAAUGCGUAGAUAUGCGGAGGAACACCGAUGGCGAAGGCAAUCCCCUGGGCCUGUACUGACGCUCAUGCACGAAAGCGUGGGGAGCAAACAGGAUUAGAUACCCCCGUAGUCCCUGUCUCUUAUAC
This 304-nucleotide ribosomal RNA is filed under the name uncultured bacterium. RNAcentral describes it as "partial 16S ribosomal RNA". It matches the Rfam family "Bacterial small subunit ribosomal RNA", at positions 506 to 807 of the family's 1533-position model. The record is from RNAcentral.